RNAcentral lists this ribosomal RNA (481 nucleotides) under uncultured bacterium. Its description in RNAcentral is "partial 16S ribosomal RNA". It matches the Rfam family "Bacterial small subunit ribosomal RNA", at positions 28 to 523 of the family's 1533-position model. The record is from RNAcentral.
GACGAACGCUGGCGGCGUGCUUAACACAUGCAAGUCGAACGGUGAAAGGGAGCUUGCUCCCUGGAUCAGUGGCGAACGGGUGAGUAACACGUGGGCAACCUGCCCCAGACUUCGGGAUAACGCUUCGAAAGAGGUGCUAAUACCGGAUACGAACUCCUUGGGCAUCCUUGGAGUUGGAAAGUUUUUCGGUCUGGGAUGGGCCCGCGGCCUAUCAGCUUGUUGGUGAGGUAACGGCUCACCAAGGCGACGACGGGUAGCCGGCCUGAGAGGGCGACCGGCCACACUGGGACUGAGACACGGCCCAGACUCCUACGGGAGGCAGCAGUGGGGAAUAUUGCGCAAUGGGCGAAAGCCUGACGCAGCAACGCCGCGUGAGGGAUGACGGCCUUCGGGUUGUAACCCUCUUUCAGCAGGGAAGAAGCGAAAGUGACGGUACCUGCAGAAGAAGCACCGGCUAACUACGUGCCAGCAGCCGCUGUAA